UGGGGAAUUUUGCACAAUGGGGGAAACCCUGAUGCAGCGACGCCGCGUGAUUUAGAAGGCCUUCGGGUUGUAAAAAUCUUUUCUAUGGGAAGAAAAUGACAGUACCAUAGGAAUAAGGACCGGCUAAUUACGUGCCAGCAGCCGCGGUAAUACGUAAGGUCCGAGCGUUGUCCGGAAUCAUUGGGCGUAAAGGGUACGUAGGCGGGUAAGCAAGUUAGAAGUGAAAUCCUAUAGCUCAACUAUAGUAAGCUUUUAAAACUGCUCAUCUUGAGGUAUGGAAGGGAAAGUGGAAUUCCUAGUGUAGCGGUGAAAUGCGCAGAUAUUAGGAGGAAUACCGGUGGCGAAGGAGACUUUCUGGCCAUAACCUGACGCUGAGGUACGAGAGAGUGGGUAGCAAACAGG
RNAcentral lists this ribosomal RNA (402 nucleotides) under bacterium. Its description in RNAcentral is "partial 16S ribosomal RNA". It matches the Rfam family "Bacterial small subunit ribosomal RNA", at positions 355 to 776 of the family's 1533-position model. The record is from RNAcentral.